This 597-nucleotide ribosomal RNA is filed under the name Erysiphe howeana. RNAcentral describes it as "eukaryotic LSU rRNA". It matches the Rfam family "Eukaryotic large subunit ribosomal RNA", at positions 43 to 651 of the family's 3401-position model. The record is from RNAcentral. Lineage: Eukaryota; Fungi; Ascomycota; Leotiomycetes; Helotiales; Erysiphaceae.
UCAAUAAGCGGAGGAAAAGAAACCAACCGGGAUUACCUCAGUAACGGCGAGUGAAGCGGUAACAGCUCAAGUUUGAAAUCUGGCUCCUCUGGAGUCCGAGUUGUAAUUUGUAGAAGAUGCUUUGGGUUGUGGGUUCGGCCUAAGUUCCUUGGAACAGGACGUCAUAGAGGGUGAGAAUCCCGUAUGUGGCCGAGGCCCGCGCCUAUGUAAAGCUCUUUCAACGAGUCGAGUUGUUUGGGAAUGCAGCUCAAAAUGGGUGGUAAAUUUCAUCUAAAGCUAAAUAUGGGCCAGAGACCGAUAGCGCACAAGUAGAGUGAUCGAAAGAUGAAAAGCACUUUGGAAAGAGAGUUAAACAGUACGUGAAAUUGUUGAAAGGGAAGCGCUUGCACCCAGACUUGGGCGCUGCCGAUCACCUUGCGGUCUCCGCGAGUGCACUCGACAGCGCACAGGCCAGCAUCGGUUCGGGUGGCUGGAUAAAGGCCGUAGGAACGUAGCUCUCUUCGGGGAGUGUUAUAGCCUACGGUGCCAUGCAGCCCAGCCGGACCGAGGACCGCGCCUUCGGGCUAGGAUGCUGGCGUAAUGGGUGUAAGCGACCCG